CUAUCCAUCAGUUUUGCUAAAGUUUUGGGGUUUUGUGUUUUUUUAGUAUUAUCUGCAGAGCAGGUCAUGAUGAAGAAAUCAUGGCUUCUGUUUAUCUCUGCAGCUGCUUUGUUUUUCACUACUUCAUUAGCUUGUUCCAACGGUGCUUGCCAGAUGUUAGAAUCAUGUGCAGCAGCUACUGAUUGUGCAGCUGGUUUGUAUUGUGGGAAUUGCCCUCAGUUGGGUAAAAAUCAGCCUUAUUGUAUUAGAGGUCAAGCUAAUAUCCCUACUGCCAUUGUAAGUGGAUUGCCAUUCAACAAGUACACAUGGCUUGUAACACAUAAUGCAUUCUCAAUUGUGGAUGCCCCUCUCUUGACUGGUCCUCAAAGGAUCACAUUUUACAAUCAAGAAGAUUCCGUCACCAACCAAUUAAGAAAUGGAGUUAGAGGAUUGAUGUUGGAUAUGUAUGACUUCGACAAUGAUAUCUGGCUCUGCCACUCAUUCCGUGGCCAGUGCUACAACAUCACUGCCUUUCAACCAGCAAUUAACACAUUGAGAGAAGUGGAAGCAUUCUUGAGUUCAAAUCCAACUGAGAUUGUGACAAUUAUAAUUGAAGAUUAUGUGCAUACAACAAGAGCAUUGACCAAGUUAUUCGCCGAUGCUGGGUUAGACAAAUACUGGUAUCCAGUUUCCAAGAUGCCAAAAAAGGGCGAGGAUUGGCCUACGAUCACCAAUAUGGCACAAGAAAAUCAUCGGUUGUUGGUUUUCACUUCCGAUUCUUCAAAGGAAGUUACCGAAGGUGUUGCUUACCAAUGGAGAUACAUGGUGGAAAAUGAACCUGGAGAUCCCGGUGUAAAACAAGGCUCUUGCCCAAACAGAAAAGAAUCAAAACCACUUGAUUCAAAAAGUGCAUCUCUUUUCCUUCAAAACUACUUCCCUACGAUGCCGGUACAAGCUGAAGCUUGCAAAGAGCAUUCAACUCCAUUGAUGGAUAUGGUUGGCACCUGCUACAAAGCAGCUGGGAAUGUGAUGCCCAAUUUCUUGGCUGUGAAUUACUAUAUGAGAAGUGAUGGCGGAGGUGUAUUCGAUGCUUUGGAUAGAAUGAAUGGCCAAACGUUAUGUGGGUGUGUUUCAGUCACUGCUUGUCAGGCUGGGGCACCGUUUGGAACUUGCAGAAACAAUGGAGUGGCGAAUUCCAGUGCACCAACUGGUCCUUCUGGUAGUUUCUCAGGAACUGUGCAAUUGACAGGAUCUGCUUCGCAAAUAAAUCUUACUAGUCUAUUGGUCAUUUAUGGGUUCAAUUUUUCCUUGAUAUUAUUAGUGUUGUAUUUGAAAUAGAUACAUGCGAGCACCUUCGUAGAGGCUCGUUCUUAUAUCUUAAUGUAUUAAGUUAGACUAGGUAUAUAAUUCAUUCCCACUUAACAUGGUGAAAUGUCAAGCAUUUGGUGGCUACAUAAUGAAGUAUGCGGGAGUUCCUAUUCGGGCAUUUCAGUUUGCAAAGUAUGAGAAAUCAAGAUAUAGCAUUUAGGAUGCAGUUAUGUUAUUAUGGUUGCUCUGUUUUCUUGUUGGUUACUUGGUUUCUUUAUUCACAAGUGUAAGUACCACUAUCUAACAUUGUACUCAUAUCUUGAAAGCAAAGGCGAUACCUUCCUUUUGGAAUUUGAUGAUGUAUAUUACAUAUCAACGGUAUUAUGGCA
Erigeron canadensis is the source of this 1676-nucleotide RNA transcript. It is a transcript of the gene named PI-PLC X domain-containing protein At5g67130, with no coding region annotated. The record is from RefSeq and is a predicted model, not a curated record. The transcript is spliced from 9 exons. Lineage: Eukaryota; Viridiplantae; Streptophyta; Magnoliopsida; Asterales; Asteraceae.